AGCGUACACGGUGGAUGCCCUGGCAGUCAGAGGCGAUGAAGGACGUGCUAAUCUGCGAUAAGCGUCGGUAAGGUGAUAUGAACCGUUAUAACCGGCGAUUUCCGAAUGGGGAAACCCAGUGUGUUUCGACACACUAUCAUUAACUGAAUCCAUAGGUUAAUGAGGCGAACCGGGGGAACUGAAACAUCUAAGUACCCCGAGGAAAAGAAAUCAACCGAGAUUCCCCCAGUAGCGGCGAGCGAACGGGGAGCAGCCCAGAGCCUGAAUCAGUGUGUGUGUUAGUGGAAGCGUCUGGAAAGGCGCGCGAUACAGGGUGACAGCCCCGUACACAAAAAUGCACAUGCUGUGAGCUCGAUGAGUAGGGCGGGACACGUGGUAUCCUGUCUGAAUAUGGGGGGACCAUCCUCCAAGGCUAAAUACUCCUGACUGACCGAUAGUGAACCAGUACCGUGAGGGAAAGGCGAAAAGAACCCCGGCGAGGGGAGUGAAAAAGAACCUGAAACCGUGUACGUACAAGCAGUGGGAGCCUCUUUAUGGGGUGACUGCGUACCUUUUGUAUAAUGGGUCAGCGACUUAUAUUCUGUAGCAAGGUUAACCGAAUAGGGGAGCCGAAGGGAAACCGAGUCUUAACUGGGCGUUAAGUUGCAGGGUAUAGACCCGAAACCCGGUGAUCUAGCCAUGGGCAGGUUGAAGGUUGGGUAACACUAACUGGAGGACCGAACCGACUAAUGUUGAAAAAUUAGCGGAUGACUUGUGGCUGGGGGUGAAAGGCCAAUCAAACCGGGAGAUAGCUGGUUCUCCCCGAAAGCUAUUUAGGUAGCGCCUCGUGAAUUCAUCUCCGGGGGUAGAGCACUGUUUCGGCAAGGGGGUCAUCCCGACUUACCAACCCGAUGCAAACUGCGAAUACCGGAGAAUGUUAUCACGGGAGACACACGGCGGGUGCUAACGUCCGUCGUGAAGAGGGAAACAACCCAGACCGCCAGCUAAGGUCCCAAAGUCAUGGUUAAGUGGGAAACGAUGUGGGAAGGCCCAGACAGCCAGGAUGUUGGCUUAGAAGCAGCCAUCAUUUAAAGAAAGCGUAAUAGCUCACUGGUCGAGUCGGCCUGCGCGGAAGAUGUAACGGGGCUAAACCAUGCACCGAAGCUGCGGCAGCGACGCUUAUGCGUUGUUGGGUAGGGGAGCGUUCUGUAAGCCUGUGAAGGUGUGCUGUGAGGCAUGCUGGAGGUAUCAGAAGUGCGAAUGCUGACAUAAGUAACGAUAAAGCGGGUGAAAAGCCCGCUCGCCGGAAGACCAAGGGUUCCUGUCCAACGUUAAUCGGGGCAGGGUGAGUCGACCCCUAAGGCGAGGCCGAAAGGCGUAGUCGAUGGGAAACAGGUUAAUAUUCCUGUACUUGGUGUUACUGCGAAGGGGGGACGGAGAAGGCUAUGUUGGCCGGGCGACGGUUGUCCCGGUUUAAGCGUGUAGGCUGGUUUUCCAGGCAAAUCCGGAAAAUCAAGGCUGAGGCGUGAUGACGAGGCACUACGGUGCUGAAGCAACAAAUGCCCUGCUUCCAGGAAAAGCCUCUAAGCAUCAGGUAACAUCAAAUCGUACCCCAAACCGACACAGGUGGUCAGGUAGAGAAUACCAAGGCGCUUGAGAGAACUCGGGUGAAGGAACUAGGCAAAAUGGUGCCGUAACUUCGGGAGAAGGCACGCUGAUAUGUAGGUGAGGUCCCUCGCGGAUGGAGCUGAAAUCAGUCGAAGAUACCAGCUGGCUGCAACUGUUUAUUAAAAACACAGCACUGUGCAAACACGAAAGUGGACGUAUACGGUGUGACGCCUGCCCGGUGCCGGAAGGUUAAUUGAUGGGGUUAGCGGUAACGCGAAGCUCUUGAUCGAAGCCCCGGUAAACGGCGGCCGUAACUAUAACGGUCCUAAGGUAGCGAAAUUCCUUGUCGGGUAAGUUCCGACCUGCACGAAUGGCGUAAUGAUGGCCAGGCUGUCUCCACCCGAGACUCAGUGAAAUUGAACUCGCUGUGAAGAUGCAGUGUACCCGCGGCAAGACGGAAAGACCCCGUGAACCUUUACUAUAGCUUGACACUGAACAUUGAGCCUUGAUGUGUAGGAUAGGUGGGAGGCUUUGAAGUGUGGACGCCAGUCUGCAUGGAGCCGACCUUGAAAUACCACCCUUUAAUGUUUGAUGUUCUAACGUUGACCCGUAAUCCGGGUUGCGGACAGUGUCUGGUGGGUAGUUUGACUGGGGCGGUCUCCUCCUAAAGAGUAACGGAGGAGCACGAAGGUUGGCUAAUCCUGGUCGGACAUCAGGAGGUUAGUGCAAUGGCAUAAGCCAGCUUGACUGCGAGCGUGACGGCGCGAGCAGGUGCGAAAGCAGGUCAUAGUGAUCCGGUGGUUCUGAAUGGAAGGGCCAUCGCUCAACGGAUAAAAGGUACUCCGGGGAUAACAGGCUGAUACCGCCCAAGAGUUCAUAUCGACGGCGGUGUUUGGCACCUCGAUGUCGGCUCAUCACAUCCUGGGGCUGAAGUAGGUCCCAAGGGUAUGGCUGUUCGCCAUUUAAAGUGGUACGCGAGCUGGGUUUAGAACGUCGUGAGACAGUUCGGUCCCUAUCUGCCGUGGGCGCUGGAGAACUGAGGGGGGCUGCUCCUAGUACGAGAGGACCGGAGUGGACGCAUCACUGGUGUUCGGGUUGUCAUGCCAAUGGCACUGCCCGGUAGCUAAAUGCGGAAGAGAUAAGUGCUGAAAGCAUCUAAGCACGAAACUUGCCCCGAGAUGAGUUCU
RNAcentral lists this ribosomal RNA (2774 nucleotides) under Escherichia coli. RNAcentral describes it as "bacterial LSU rRNA". It matches the Rfam family "Bacterial large subunit ribosomal RNA". The record is from RNAcentral. Lineage: Bacteria; Pseudomonadati; Pseudomonadota; Gammaproteobacteria; Enterobacterales; Enterobacteriaceae.